Molecule: transfer RNA, 90 nt
Filed under: Mycobacterium bohemicum DSM 44277
Lineage: Bacteria; Bacillati; Actinomycetota; Actinomycetes; Mycobacteriales; Mycobacteriaceae
Description: tRNA-Gly
Source: RNAcentral
GCGCGGUUGCACGAGGCGUUGCCGGCCGUUCCCGACGGCCGCAAGCUGCCGUGGUUCGGGCCACCGAUGAGCGCCGCGUCGAUGGCGACC